RNAcentral lists this transfer RNA (75 nucleotides) under Candidatus Uzinura diaspidicola str. ASNER. RNAcentral describes it as "tRNA-Val (GAC) (tRNA-Val-GAC-1-1)". It matches the Rfam family "tRNA". From Rfam's summary of the family: Transfer RNA (tRNA) molecules are approximately 80 nucleotides in length. Their secondary structure includes four short double-helical elements and three loops (D, anti-codon, and T loops). The record is from Rfam by way of RNAcentral. Lineage: Bacteria; Pseudomonadati; Bacteroidota; Flavobacteriia; Flavobacteriales.
AGACAUUUAGCUAAGUUGGUUUAGAGCACUAUCUUGACAGGAUAGAGGUCACUGGUUCGAGCCCGGUAAUGUCUA